AGCUCUCUGCUAAAGGUUUACUGAAGUAUAGAGGGUGAAUUCUGCCCAAUGGUUGUAUAGUGAAACUGAGGACUAACGUCUAAAGCGAAGCCCAACUGAAUGGCCGCGGUAACUCUGACCGUGAUAAUGUAGCACAAUAAAUAGCCAAUUAAUUGUUGGCGGGUAUGAAUGGAACCACGAGGGUCUUACUGUCUCAAGAGGAAAGCCGAUGAAAUUAUAAUUGUAGUGAAGAUACUACAUAAACAUUGUAAGACGAAAAGACCCUAUCGAGCUUUACUGGAUACCGAUAGCGUUAAUUUAGAAUGAUCGAUACUAAGUAUCCUAAUUCUAAGUUAAUAAUUUUUGUUGGUAGGACAGUUUAGUUGGGGCGACUACCUUUGAAUAAGAAACGAAGGCGAGCUUAUGGUAUUAAUAAAAUCUCAUUAGCCUCACAGUGAGGGGGACACCCCUAGCUGGCACAAGGACCCGCGCACAGCGGGGGUUCCUAUGUGGGCGAUAGUGACCCGAUAUUAUUAUCCAAAAUAAAUAUCGAAAGCGGAUAAAAGCUACCGUAGGGAUAACAGCGUAAUAUUGUCGGAGAGUUCUUAUCGAGGACAGUGUUUGCGACCUCGAUGUUGAAUUGCGGUGCCCUGGUGCUGUAGAAGGUACCUUAGGUUGGUCUGUUCGACCAUGAAAACCGU
This 680-nucleotide ribosomal RNA is filed under the name Ellisella schmitti. RNAcentral's name for it is "partial 16S ribosomal RNA". It matches the Rfam family "Bacterial large subunit ribosomal RNA", at positions 1817 to 2597 of the family's 2925-position model. Lineage: Eukaryota; Metazoa; Cnidaria; Anthozoa; Scleralcyonacea; Ellisellidae. The record is from RNAcentral.